This 460-nucleotide ribosomal RNA is filed under the name uncultured bacterium. RNAcentral describes it as "bacterial SSU rRNA". It matches the Rfam family "Bacterial small subunit ribosomal RNA", at positions 29 to 507 of the family's 1533-position model. The record is from RNAcentral.
AACGAACGCUGGCGGCAGGCCUAACACAUGCAAGUCGAGCGAACCCUUCGGGGUUAGCGGCGGACGGGUGAGUAACGCGUGGGAAUAUGCCCUUUGCUACGGAAUAGCCCCGGGAAACGUGGGAGUAAUACCGUAUACGCCCGUUUGGGGGAAAGAUUUAUCGGCAAAGGAUUAGCCCGCGUUGGAUUAGGUAGUUGGUGGGGUAAUGGCCUACCAAGCCGACGAUCCAUAGCUGGUUUGAGAGGAUGAUCAGCCACACUGGGACUGAGACACGGCCCAGACUCCUACGGGAGGCAGCAGUAGGGAAUUUUCGGCAAUGGGGGAAACCCUGACCGAGCAAUGCCGCGUGAACGAUGAAGGUCUUCGGAUUGUAAAGUUCUGUGAUUGGGGAAGAAUGGUAUUCUUAGGGAAUGAGGAGUACAUGACGGUACCCGAUUAGAAAGCCCCGGCUAACUAUGUG